GAAGCGGGAAGAGCUCAAAUUUAUAAUCUCGGCACCUUCGGUGUCCGAGUUGUAAUCUCUAGAAAUGUUUUCCGCGUUGGACCGCACACAAGUCUGUUGGAAUACAGCGGCAUAGUGGUGAGACCCCCGUAUAUGGUGCGGACGCCCAGCGCUUUGUGAUACAUUUUCGAAGAGUCGAGUUGUUUGGGAAUGCAGCUCAAAUUGGGUGGUAAAUUCCAUCUAAAGCUAAAUAUUGGCGAGAGACCGAUAGCGAACAAGUACCGUGAGGGAAAGAUGAAAAGCACUUUGGAAAGAGAGUUAACAGUACGUGAAAUUGUUGGAAGGGAAACGCUUGAAGUCAGACUUGCUUGCCGAGCAAUCGGUUUGCAGGCCAGCAUCAGUUUUCCGGGAUGGAUAAUGGUAGAGAGAAGGUAGCAGUUUCGGCUGUGUUAUAGCUCUCUGCUGGAUACAUCUUGGGGGACUGAGGAACGCAGCGUGCCUAUUGGCGGGGGUU
Molecule: ribosomal RNA, 493 nt
Filed under: Rhodotorula mucilaginosa
Lineage: Eukaryota; Fungi; Basidiomycota; Microbotryomycetes; Sporidiobolales; Sporidiobolaceae
Description: LSU rRNA
Rfam family: Eukaryotic large subunit ribosomal RNA
Source: RNAcentral